UUAAACUGAAGAGUUUGAUCAUGGCUCAGAUUGAACGCUGGCGGCAGGCUUAACACAUGCAAGUCGAGCGGUAACAGAGAUAGCUUGCUAUCUGCUGACGAGCGGCGGACGGGUGAGUAACGCGUAGGAAACUACCCGGUAGUGGGGGACAACCGUUGGAAACGACGGCUAAUACCGCAUACGCUCUACGGAGGAAAGGGGGCUUCGGCUCUCGCUAUCGGAUGUGCCUGCGUGAGAUUAGCUAGUUGGUGGGGUAAAAGCCUACCAAGGCGACGAUCUCUAGCUGGUCUGAGAGGAUGAUCAGCCACACUGGGACUGAGACACGGCCCAGACUCCUACGGGAGGCAGCAGUGGGGAAUAUUGGACAAUGGGCGCAAGCCUGAUCCAGCCAUGCCGCGUGUGUGAAGAAGGCUUUCGGGUUGUAAAGCACUUUCAUCAGUGAGGAAAGGGUAGUAGUUAAUACCUGCUAU
Molecule: ribosomal RNA, 470 nt
Filed under: Oleibacter sp. HI0075
Lineage: Bacteria; Pseudomonadati; Pseudomonadota; Gammaproteobacteria; Oceanospirillales; Oceanospirillaceae
Description: bacterial SSU rRNA
Rfam family: Bacterial small subunit ribosomal RNA
Source: RNAcentral